AGGGCAAGUCUGGUGCCAGCAGCCGCGGUAAUUCCAGCUCCAAUAGCGUAUAUUAAAGUUGUUGCAGUUAAAAAGCUCGUAGUUGAAUUUCGGGGUUAGUAGGUUGGUCAUGCCACUGGUAUGUACUGAUCUUACUGAUUCCUCCUUCCUGAUGAACCGUAAUGCCAUUAAUUUGGUGUUGCGGGGAGACUGGACUGUUACUUUGAAAAAAUUAGAGUGUUUAAAGCAGGCUAACGCUUGAAUACAUUAGCAUGGAAUAAUGGAAUAGGACGUUCGAUCCUAUUUUGUUGGUUUCUAGGAUUGACGUAAUGAUUAAUAGGGAUAGUUGGGGGCAUUAGUAUUCAAUUGUCAGAGGUGAAAUUCUUGGAUUUAUUGAAGACUAACUACUGCGAAAGCAUUUGCCAAGGAUGUUUUCAUUAAUCAAGAACGAAAGUUAGGGGAUCGAAGACGAUCAGAUACCGUCGUAGUCUUAACCAUAAACUAUGCCGACNAGGGAUCGGAUGAUGUUAAUUUUUUAAUGACUCAUUCGGCGCCUUACGGGAA
This 543-nucleotide ribosomal RNA is filed under the name uncultured Glomeromycotina. RNAcentral's name for it is "SSU rRNA". It matches the Rfam family "Eukaryotic small subunit ribosomal RNA", at positions 552 to 1096 of the family's 1831-position model. Lineage: Eukaryota; Fungi; Glomeromycota. The record is from RNAcentral.